This 336-nucleotide ribosomal RNA is filed under the name Triticum aestivum (bread wheat). RNAcentral's name for it is "partial small subunit ribosomal RNA". The record is from RNAcentral. Lineage: Eukaryota; Viridiplantae; Streptophyta; Magnoliopsida; Poales; Poaceae.
AUGGUCGCCGGCGACGUCAACAAAGUCGACGUAGCUCCUCUGGCUUCUCUGCCGAAGCAGGUGCUAGCUCCUCAGCCUCAGCCGGGUCUUCGUCUGCCGCGGUUGUUGCCUCCCCUGCCCCCACCUGUGGUCGUCGCCGACGAGAACGAAGAAGAGGUUUUCUCUGGUCAGUACAAGGCAAAUAAGGUCCUAAGUGACGAUGUCGACAGCGACCCAGAAACCCAGGGGAUCUACACGAGGCAGAAGGUGAGGGAGCUGGAUAGUGGUGUGCUCGAGAAACGUGUCAUGCCAAGAAUCGGAAGGGGGGCUACAGAUGCCCUUACUGCAACAAGCUGA